AACGGUCUAUACCUGCGGUACCUGCGGAGGGAUCAUUACCAAAAAUUCAAUGGUUGGCGAUGUGGGUAGAUUGAUAGAUUGUCAUUGGAUAAUUAAAAUAAUUAGUUAAUGUCGAUUGGUCUAUCCAUGUCGCUUUCUAUUUAUAACCCCAUAUGUGAACCAAUGGAAUGAUGUGUGGAGUCUGAAGAUGGUCCGGGAUUGGUCCAUCUCAAGACAAAAACGCGCAUCAAACCACAAAAA
RNAcentral lists this unclassified non-coding RNA (240 nucleotides) under soil metagenome. Its description in RNAcentral is "partial contains 5.8S ribosomal RNA, internal transcribed spacer 2, and large subunit ribosomal RNA". The record is from RNAcentral.